Molecule: ribosomal RNA, 589 nt
Filed under: uncultured bacterium
Lineage: Bacteria
Description: partial 16S ribosomal RNA
Rfam family: Bacterial small subunit ribosomal RNA
Source: RNAcentral
UGGGGAAUUUUGGACAAUGGGCGAAAGCCUGAUCCAGCAAUGCCGCGUGUGUGAAGAAGGCCUUCGGGUUGUAAAGCACUUUUGUCCGGAAAGAAAUCCUUGGCUCUAAUACAGUCGGGGGAUGACGGUACCGGAAGAAUAAGCACCGGCUAACUACGUGCCAGCAGCCGCGGUAAUACGUAGGGUGCAAGCGUUAAUCGGAAUUACUGGGCGUAAAGCGUGCGCAGGCGGUUUGCUAAGACCGAUGUGAAAUCCCCGGGCUCAACCUGGGAACUGCAUUGGUGACUGGCAGGCUAGAGUAUGGCAGAGGGGGGUAGAAUUCCACGUGUAGCAGUGAAAUGCGUAGAGAUGUGGAGGAAUACCGAUGGCGAAGGCAGCCCCCUGGGCCAAUACUGACGCUCAUGCACGAAAGCGUGGGGAGCAAAACAGGAUUAGAUACCCCUGGUAGUCCACGCCCCUAAAACGAUGUCAACUAGUUGUUGGGGAUUCAUUUCCUUAGUAACGUAGCUAACGCGUGAAGUUGACCGCCUGGGGAGUACGGUCGCAAGAUUAAAACUCAAAUGAAUUGACGGGGUCAUAGCUGUUUCCU